AGUAGCACCUCAGACAUCUCUUGAAUCCGUGCAAGACUACACACGGAAACACCCUGCACACCACAGUGCUACGAAUGGCCGUGCAACAGGAGCAGGUCAGUAGCACCGCCCUCUGCAGAGCACGGCAAGCACGGGGAGCAACGGGGGGAUAAUGGCGGCCUGAGAAGCAAAAUUCUAGUCACUGGUAUGCAGCCCAGAUUCCUGCCACUGCUGCAAAGGAAGCACACAAGCCACUACAGCAACAGCCUUAUGAAGAUGCUACUACAUGCUUGGAUUAUGAAUACAAUAUGAAGUGUUUUGCUUUAUAAGGUGGUGUCUGAGACUAAUGAGGAACUUGGCCUGUGCUGAUUCAAACAACAUGAGCAGAAAAGUCUGAAAAAGAAGAGCCAGAAGGAUGGAUGGAGACCUGCAGACGCAGAGCAGCAACCAGCUUUUCUCUGCUUCCUCUUGCAGACAGCAUCUACUUUCUGUCAUGGACAGCAUCUGUUUCCUCUUAUGACUGAAAACAUCAGCUGAGUAAAAACAUCAGUUUGAGUAAUUCUACUGGUUGAAAGCUAUUGGUUUGAGCAGCUCACUGAGGAGGGAUCACUGAAUCUUCUGGAAUCAGCUAACUGCACACACACAAGGGAGUUCCCAUCCCAAGGAUGUUCCUGGACAAACUGAACUAUAUACAAGUGAGCACACAUUUACCUUUCAUGAUCCGCCACCCAAUAAAGCUCCUCAAUUCAAGACAACGCUGGAUCCAAGUUGUGGUGAAAUCUUUUUUUUCUCUCUCCCUCUCUCUUCUCUAUAUAGUUGCUGAAUUGUGUGAUUAUUCUUGCUUGCAAAACUGCAAUAGUUUUUACAUGUUCCAAAUAGUAUACGUAUAGUAUUAUGGACUAGAAAGCA
Molecule: long non-coding RNA, 888 nt
Organism: Centrocercus urophasianus (Greater sage-grouse)
Lineage: Eukaryota; Metazoa; Chordata; Aves; Galliformes; Phasianidae
Exons: 3
Source: RefSeq, a predicted model, not a curated record